UUGUCCGGGAUCAUAUGUUGUUCGAACAGGGUCCAAUUUGCGCAAGGAAAAACACUAUCAACCCUUGAAUCGCUCUUGCUGAGAAUCUCUCGGACGCCGCUAACUCUCAAUUGUGCGAAAGCUAGCUCUCAAUUGUGCGAAGCGAUUUCUUGCAGCCUUUACACAUUAGGGUGGGACGCUUUGCUCGUGAUUUUUUUUUUUUUUUUAAAUAAAAUUUUUCAGUCUGAAGUUCGGAGGAAGUGAGACAGAUGCUGGUCAGGCAGCUUGACAAGAAAGGGUAGCUGCUCCAGAUAUAGUUCGUUUUGGUUAUUCAUUGGGUCUGGUUGAUCUGGACUUGAACGAGUUCACCCUUCCUCCGGUCGUAUAAUACAUAACAUUCGACUGCAGGCAGAGAACGAGGAUAUGCAAACUGCGAAGGGGAUGGCCUGGGGCGGAGAUAUCCAGCACUUUCUGGUGGAACGUAUCCUCCCGUCCCAGUUGCACAGAAUAAAAGAGGACUUACCCAGGUAGACCCUUGAGCCCAGCAAUCCGGAACAACAGCAUGCCCUUCCGUUCCGUUAUUUAGAAGAAGUUAGAUCGGGGCGAGGACAAGCAAGACCCCACUAAACUAAGAGGCGAAGUUAGUAUUACUACGAG
RNAcentral lists this small RNA (636 nucleotides) under Histoplasma ohiense. Its description in RNAcentral is "hypothetical lncRNA". The record is from RNAcentral. Lineage: Eukaryota; Fungi; Ascomycota; Eurotiomycetes; Onygenales; Ajellomycetaceae.